Molecule: ribosomal RNA, 2925 nt
Filed under: Salmonella enterica subsp. enterica serovar Choleraesuis
Lineage: Bacteria; Pseudomonadati; Pseudomonadota; Gammaproteobacteria; Enterobacterales; Enterobacteriaceae
Description: partial 23S ribosomal RNA
Rfam family: Bacterial large subunit ribosomal RNA
Source: RNAcentral
UGUGAGGUUAAGCGACUAAGCGUACACGGUGGAUGCCCUGGCAGUCAGAGGCGAUGAAGGGCGUGCUAAUCUGCGAUAAGCGCCGGUAAGGUGAUAUGAACCGUUAUAACCGGCGAUACCCGAAUGGGGAAACCCAGUGUGACUCGUCACACUAUCAUUAACUGAAUCCAUAGGUUAAUGAGGCGAACCGGGGGAACUGAAACAUCUAAGUACCCCGAGGAAAAGAAAUCAACCGAGAUUCCCCCAGUAGCGGCGAGCGAACGGGGAGGAGCCCAGAGCCUGAAUCAGCAUGUGUGUUAGUGGAAGCGUCUGGAAAGGCGCGCGAUACAGGGUGACAGCCCCGUACACAAAAGCGCAUGUGCUGUGAGCUCGAUGAGUAGGGCGGGACACGUGGUAUCCUGUCUGAAUAUGGGGGGACCAUCCUCCAAGGCUAAAUACUCCUGACUGACCGAUAGUGAACCAGUACCGUGAGGGAAAGGCGAAAAGAACCCCGGCGAGGGGAGUGAAAAAGAACCUGAAACCGUGUACGUACAAGCAGUGGGAGCACAGGUUUACCUGUGUGACUGCGUACCUUUUGUAUAAUGGGUCAGCGACUUAUAUUCUGUAGCAAGGUUAACCGUAUAGGGGAGCCGUAGGGAAACCGAGUCUUAACCGGGCGUUAAGUUGCAGGGUAUAGACCCGAAACCCGGUGAUCUAGCCAUGGGCAGGUUGAAGGUUGGGUAACACUAACUGGAGGACCGAACCGACUAAUGUUGAAAAAUUAGCGGAUGACCUGUGGCUGGGGGUGAAAGGCCAAUCAAACCGGGAGAUAGCUGGUUCUCCCCGAAAGCUAUUUAGGUAGCGCCUCGUGAAUUCAUCUCCGGGGGUAGAGCACUGUUUCGGCUAGGGGGCCAUCCCGGCUUACCAACCCGAUGCAAACUGCGAAUACCGGAGAAUGUUAUCACGGGAGACACACGGCGGGUGCUAACGUCCGUCGUGAAGAGGGAAACAACCCAGACCGCCAGCUAAGGUCCCAAAGUCAUGGUUAAGUGGGAAACGAUGUGGGAAGGCCCAGACAGCCAGGAUGUUGGCUUAGAAGCAGCCAUCAUUUAAAGAAAGCGUAAUAGCUCACUGGUCGAGUCGGCCUGCGCGGAAGAUGUAACGGGGCUAAACCAUGCACCGAAGCUGCGGCAGCGACGCUGAUGCGUUGUUGGGUAGGGGAGCGUUCUGUAAGCCUGUGAAGGUGGCCUGUGAGGGUUGCUGGAGGUAUCAGAAGUGCGAAUGCUGACAUAAGUAACGAUAAAGCGGGUGAAAAGCCCGCUCGCCGGAAGACCAAGGGUUCCUGUCCAACGUUAAUCGGGGCAGGGUGAGUCGACCCCUAAGGCGAGGCCGAAAGGCGUAGUCGAUGGGAAACGGGUUAAUAUUCCCGUACUUGGUGUUACUGCGAAGGGGGGACGGAGAAGGCUAUGUUGGCCGGGCGACGGUUGUCCCGGUUUAAGCGUGUAGGUGUGUGUUCCAGGUAAAUCCGGUUCACUUUAACACUGAGGCGUGAUGACGAGGCACUACGGUGCUGAAGCAACAAAUGCCCUGCUUCCAGGAAAAGCCUCUAAGCAUCAGGUAACAUCAAAUCGUACCCCAAACCGACACAGGUGGUCAGGUAGAGAAUACCAAGGCGCUUGAGAGAACUCGGGUGAAGGAACUAGGCAAAAUGGUGCCGUAACUUCGGGAGAAGGCACGCUGACACGUAGGUGAAGUGAUUUACUCAUGGAGCUGAAGUCAGUCGAAGAUACCAGCUGGCUGCAACUGUUUAUUAAAAACACAGCACUGUGCAAACACGAAAGUGGACGUAUACGGUGUGACGCCUGCCCGGUGCCGGAAGGUUAAUUGAUGGGGUCAGCGCAAGCGAAGCUCCUGAUCGAAGCCCCGGUAAACGGCGGCCGUAACUAUAACGGUCCUAAGGUAGCGAAAUUCCUUGUCGGGUAAGUUCCGACCUGCACGAAUGGCGUAAUGAUGGCCAGGCUGUCUCCACCCGAGACUCAGUGAAAUUGAACUCGCUGUGAAGAUGCAGUGUACCCGCGGCAAGACGGAAAGACCCCGUGAACCUUUACUAUAGCUUGACACUGAACAUUGAGCCUUGAUGUGUAGGAUAGGUGGGAGGCUUUGAAGCGUGGACGCCAGUCUGCAUGGAGCCGGCCUUGAAAUACCACCCUUUAAUGUUUGAUGUUCUAACGUGGACCCGUGAUCCGGGUUGCGGACAGUGUCUGGUGGGUAGUUUGACUGGGGCGGUCUCCUCCUAAAGAGUAACGGAGGAGCACGAAGGUUGGCUAAUCCUGGUCGGACAUCAGGAGGUUAGUGCAAUGGCAUAAGCCAGCUUGACUGCGAGCGUGACGGCGCGAGCAGGUGCGAAAGCAGGUCAUAGUGAUCCGGUGGUUCUGAAUGGAAGGGCCAUCGCUCAACGGAUAAAAGGUACUCCGGGGAUAACAGGCUGAUACCGCCCAAGAGUUCAUAUCGACGGCGGUGUUUGGCACCUCGAUGUCGGCUCAUCACAUCCUGGGGCUGAAGUAGGUCCCAAGGGUAUGGCUGUUCGCCAUUUAAAGUGGUACGCGAGCUGGGUUUAGAACGUCGUGAGACAGUUCGGUCCCUAUCUGCCGUGGGCGCUGGAGAACUGAGGGGGGCUGCUCCUAGUACGAGAGGACCGGAGUGGACGCAUCACUGGUGUUCGGGUUGUCAUGCCAAUGGCACUGCCCGGUAGCUAAAUGCGGAAGAGAUAAGUGCUGAAAGCAUCUAAGCACGAAACUUGCCCCGAGAUGAGUUCUCCCUGAGACUUAGAGUCUCCUGAAGGAACGUUGAAGACGACGACGUUGAUAGGCCGGGUGUGUAAGCGCAGCGAUGCGUUGAGCUAACCGGUACUAAUGAACCGUGAGGCUUAACCUUACAACGCCGAAG